AGGACGAACGCUGGCGGCGUGCUUAACACAUGCAAGUCGAGCGGUAAGGCUCCUUCGGGAGUACACGAGCGGCGAACGGGUGAGUAACACGUGAGCAAUCUGCCCUCCACAUCGGGAUAACCCCCGGAAACGGGAGCUAAUACCGGAUACGACCACUUCAGGCAUCUGAUGGUGGUGGAAAGUUCCGGCGGUGGAGGAUGAGCUCGCGGCCUAUCAGCUUGUUGGUGAGGUAAUGGCCCACCAAGGCUUCGACGGGUAGCCGGCCUGAGAGGGUGACCGGCCACACUGGGACUGAGACACGGCCCAGACUCCUACGGGAGGCAGCAGUGGGGAAUAUUGGACAAUGGGCGAAAGCCUGAUCCAGCAACGCCGCGUGAGGGAUGACGGCCUUCGGGUUGUAAACCUCUUUCAGCGCAGACGAAGCGAAAGUGACGGUAUGCGCAGAAGAAGCACCGGCCAACUACGUGCCAGCAGCCGC
Molecule: ribosomal RNA, 478 nt
Filed under: uncultured bacterium
Lineage: Bacteria
Description: SSU rRNA
Rfam family: Bacterial small subunit ribosomal RNA
Source: RNAcentral